UGGGGGAUAUUGCACAAUGGGCGAAAGACUGAUGCAGCGACGCCGCGUGGGGGAUGAAGGCUUUCGGGUAGUAAACCUCUUUCGCUAACGAACAAGGCCCGCUUAGGGUGGGUUGAGGGUAGGUGGAGAAGAAGCGCCGGCUAACUACGUGCCAGCAGCCGCGGUAAUACGUAGGGCGCGAGCGUUGUCCGGAAUUAUUGGGCGUAAAGGGCUUGUAGGCGGCUUGUUGCGCCUGCUGUGAAAACGCGGGGCUUAACUUCGGGGGAGAGGUGGGUAAGGGCAGGCUUGAGUGUGGUAGGGGGGACUGGAAUUCCAGGUGUAGCGGUGGAAUGCGCAGAUAUCUGGAGGAACACCGAUGGCGAAGGAAGGUGACUGGGCAAUUACUGACGCUGAGGAGCGAAAGCAUGGGUAGCGAACAGG
This 420-nucleotide ribosomal RNA is filed under the name bacterium. RNAcentral describes it as "partial 16S ribosomal RNA". It matches the Rfam family "Bacterial small subunit ribosomal RNA", at positions 355 to 776 of the family's 1533-position model. The record is from RNAcentral.